RNAcentral lists this long non-coding RNA (231 nucleotides) under Elaeis guineensis (African oil palm). RNAcentral describes it as "long non-coding RNA (EGUI_LNC045751)". Lineage: Eukaryota; Viridiplantae; Streptophyta; Magnoliopsida; Arecales; Arecaceae. The record is from RNAcentral.
UACCCAACGGUUGGAUAGGUUGAAUGUGUAGAACAACAUCCUUAGAAUCUAUACGGAUAUAGUUUCCAUAUAAUUCAUUCUCUUGACCAAAAUACUCAUAGGAUACCUCAGAGUUUAACUGUCAACUCUGAUCAGGUUGACCACAUUGUAUUUCAAAAUAUCAAAUCUAUCUAAUGGAUUAUCCUGAUCAAGAUUUUGCUAAAUUAAAAUACAGCGACUCAUUCUUCUCCA